CACUCACCUGUCCGGGACACUGAAGGAAGGAGCUGGUAAUCAGUCACUUGUGAGCGGUGAGAUUGUGUGAUCGGAGCCACAGACACAACUCUCGUGAGGGGUACCCACGGUGAUCACACACUGACUGUACUUGAAACACACGGUGCCAAUACAACAAGAGGAUCGGCAGUCAGAGCCAAAGAAGUGAC
Long non-coding RNA from Amblyraja radiata (thorny skate), 188 nucleotides. RefSeq lists it as uncharacterized. Lineage: Eukaryota; Metazoa; Chordata; Chondrichthyes; Rajiformes; Rajidae. The transcript is spliced from 3 exons. The record is from RefSeq and is a predicted model, not a curated record.